This 5899-nucleotide long non-coding RNA is filed under the name Phaseolus vulgaris (common bean). Its description in RNAcentral is "long non-coding RNA (PVUL_LNC005224)". Lineage: Eukaryota; Viridiplantae; Streptophyta; Magnoliopsida; Fabales; Fabaceae. The record is from RNAcentral.
CAGUUAGGAAAUAAUCAUAAAACACAACCUUACAGGAAAAAAAGGACUUACAAAUUUAAACUACUGAAUCAAAAGCAUAGUGUUUUACAAACUUCUAAAAUAACAAUUAAAAUCUUGGAAUUCAAGUCCCAAACAUGCUUAAUCACUUGCAAAGAUGGGGCUUGCGAAUCAUUUGUUCACAGUUCCUUCUAAUAAUCAGACUCUAAUUCACAUCUAAACAAUGUCAUUUGGCAGGUUCAUCAUACUUUGAUUACUGUGGCAAGACGUUUCCUCAAAUUGCACCACACAAAGAUGAUGCCGUUGCAGCAGAACCCAGAAUAGAUGCAGCGACACCAACAGAGAGGAACCACCAGAGAGAAGAUAAAAAUGCACGAGCCAUAUAUGACCUGAAUAGAGAAACUGCUGCUUCAUCUGCACCACGCAAGGAGAAUUACAACCAUAAAAUGGAAGUAAGCCUUGAUUUUGAUCUGAAUAAAACACCUCAACCAAAAGCCAGAAGAAGAAAGCACAGGCCCAAGGUCAUAAAAGAAGACAAACCAAAACGUGCUACCAAAAAAGUUCAAUCGAAAGAGAACCAAACUGACAAGAAAGCAAAAAGGAAAGGAUUGAACACAACUUCUACUCCACAAACAGAAGUGACAGGAAAAUGGACAACACCAUUGACGCCUGAAUCAGUCACAAAGACAUGUAGAAGGUCCUUGAAUUUCGAUACCAGGGAACAAGCAAGAGAUGGCAAUUCCAGACAUAAAGAAACCAUGCUCUUCGCCAAAGCAAGCAGCUCAAGGAAUUGGAUGGCUGAUUGUAAUGGACUUCAAGAGUGUGCACAAAUACUAUCAAAUAACUCCAAUAGCAGAGACUGUUUGAGCACAGGAUGUGGAUUACAAGCUGUUGGUUCAAAGAGAAAACAACCUGGUAUUGAACAGGCAGAUAACGGCAACAUCAAUCUGAUAGGAGCACAAUAUAAUGCUAUGCAAGCAUACUGCCUAGACUACGGUGUUCAAUUUCCAAAUGUUCAGAAGAAAAGGAGAACUGAAAAUGGGAGAAUUUCGAAGACACCACGUAAAUCUUCUGUGACUGACCUAAAAGAUGUACGACUGGCAACUUUCGUAUCACAUCCUUAUGUGUCAAGUCACAACAGCUGGUAUUCUGGUUCAGAAUAUAAUGCAGCAGGACUCCCAGAAAGAGCUAUUCAUGAUAAACUUCAACCCCUUGAGUGCACCUUGUCUUUAGGGCAGAAGAGGCCGACCAAAAGAAGAUCAAAAACUCAUGCCGGUCCAGCACAUACUAGAAAGCAAACAUGUAGCUCUGACAGACGAACAUUUGGAGAUCCAGAAGGACCACAGACAUGCACCGAUGCUUUAAUUGCAGAUUUGCGAGGAUCGGUCACAAAAAAGAAACGAACAAAAACUAGAAGAAUUCGUGUCCGUUCAUCAUCUUCCUGCAAAAAUGAAAGACAGCACAACACAUUAGGUAUUUCAACUUUAAUUUCCUAUUCUUUUUCUGAAUAACAUUAUGAUUGUUAUAGAGAAAGCAAUUCUACCAUGCAAUCUGACUUAUUACCUGAAUUGAUUGAUUUGAUGUUGCAUGUGUAGACAAAUGGAAAAACAUACGGACUGAGGACGAUUUAAUAGAGCUAUUUAGAUUCCUGAACAUCGAUGGAGAGAUGCAGAAUAUGCUUGUUCCUUAUAACCAAAAUGGCACCAUUGUUCCACACGAAGAAGAAGAAGAAGAAGAAGAAGAAGAAAAGAAAAAACGACCUAAAGUUGAUCUUGAUGGGGAGACUGAGAGAAUCUGGAACCUUUUACUUGUCGAUAUCAACAGUAGUGGGAUUGAUGGAAGUGAUCCCGAUACGGUCAAAUGGUGGAAAGAAGAACGAGAAGUGUUCCGUGGACGAGCAGACUCAUUCAUUGCAAGGAUGCAUCUGGUACAAGGUAUGAAUUAUACAUUUUCAUGAAAAUCUAAGCACUAUUCACACAACAGACAAAUAUCCCCUUUAUUUGUGCUUGAGGUGGAAAAAGUGAGAACACCAUAGACUAGGAAGAUAGCAACACACACACACAUAUAUAUGAACACACCAAGCACUAUACAGAAAACCAAGUAGGAUUCAAAGGAACUCUAAGAAAUUCAAAUGAGAACAGUAAUAAUAUUAAUAAAUAAUUUGGAUUUGUCAAGAUUAGCACUACUCACACAACUGACAAAUUUCUACAAUGAAGAAAAAAAGAGAUUAGCUUAUGUAGUUAAAAAACCAGAUUUUGAAAAGAUUAGCCAUGAAAAAGCUUCUAUAAAUUAGUGUGCGUAAAAAGCUUAUUUAUAAUUUCUUCUAAAAAUGUUUUAAACUAAGUUUAACCACAAAGAACAUUUAUAAAAAAAAGGCAAGUCAAAGUAGGACACUCAAUGAAGUACUAUUUCCUACAACACAGCGGACAAUUUUAAUCAAGUGCUAAAGCAAAAAUACAUCACACUAAAUAAAGAAAUUCUUUCCUCUGAAGUUGCAGUUAAUCGGCAAGUUAUCAAAAACAAAAUAUUCACAAGUAAACUCAUUCAUUCUGCAUAUUCAGUAACACAGUUCCAGGACUAAUAUUAUAACACAAACAACAGGAGACAGGCGCUUUUCGAUGUGGAAGGGAUCUGUUGUGGAUUCUGUUGUCGGAGUUUUCCUCACUCAAAAUGUUUCAGACCAUCUUUCCAGGUAUAAAUCAUGCAAGCUUAAUUACUGAGAAAUAUACAAUUAAAACAAACAACACGUUUAUUUUUCCCCUUGUUGGCAGUUCUGCAUUCAUGUCCCUCGCUGCUCGAUAUCCUCUGAAGUCAACCAGUACAUUCCAGAAGGAAAGCACAUGUUCGAUGGUCAAUGAACCACAAGUGUGCAUUGUGGAGGAGCCAGUAGAAAAUGGAAAUCGGGAUAGGAAAAUAUUGGAUCAAUCCAUUUGUGAAAUGAAUUCUAAGACAAUGGACAUCAUCGAAAAUUAUGAAGAAAGAGAAGGUGUAGACAGCAAUGUUUCCUGCAGAACUAAUGGCAGCGUAAUUUGUGUAGCAGAUGAAUCAAACAGCAACAUGUUGGAAUCGGAAUCGGCUCAAAGACGUGGCAGUGAACAUAGCCCAGUGGAAAGUGGAACAAUUAGUGGUAUGACUGAGGAAGGGCAAGAAAGUUUAUGUCAUGUGAGUGUUAGGAAAGAGUUAAAUAAUGUAUUUCCAUCCCAAUUAUCUGGUGCUACAUUUCAAACAUCAGGAGAUUUUUCAAUUGAUCAAAAUACUGAAAAGAUAGGAUCAUUCUCAGAUAGCAACUCAGAAAUAGAAGACCUGCCAAGCACAGCCCAGUUCAAUAUUUAUCAUAGCGGGACUUCAUUCAGAGAACUUUUAGAAAUGGCAAGUUCAACCAUGUUGCAUGAAGUUAAUAGUCAAAGAGACAAAUCAACUGAGAACUUUAGAGACGCAUGUGAUCAGUCCAUAGACUUGAACCAUGACAACCAAGUAGGAAACUUGGAAAAAUCAGAUGUUACUCUUACUCGAGACACUUUUGAAACACCCAUCACCAAGGAAUAUGCUUUGGAAGCAACCCCAAACUCGGGAGUGCUUGAAGUUAACUGCUAUGAUCCUCUAAAAAUAGAAGUCCCAUCAAGUGAUUCCUCAAAGAAUAAAGGUGAGAAUGAUAAGAGGCAUAGUUUUCGAACAGAUUCCAACUCCAAAGCUGCAUUUGUCAAUUCUCAUGGUAUGAUAUCUCAACUUCAUUCCUUGCAAGAAAUUAACCAUGAACAGCAUAAUGUUUUUAUCAUUUCAGGACAAACUCAGGAUCCCAUGCAGAAAGCAAGAGAUCAAAAAUUUGGUGAUCACAAGAAUGAAAAGAAGAAAAAAAACAGCAAAAAAAAUAGUAAGAAGGAACCUGCCCCAAAGAAAGCUGCCCCAAAAAAAGCUGCCCCAAAGAAAGCUGCCCCAAAAAAGGCUGCCCCAAAAAAAGCUGCCCCAAAAAAACUAAAAAGCGAGAAAGAGGAAAAUAACUUUGAUUGGGAUAGUUUAAGAAUACAAGCACAGGCUCGGGCAGGGAAGAGAGAAAAGACCGAAAACACCAUGGACUCUGCGGACUGGGAUGCUGUAAGACGUGCAGAUCUCAGUGAAAUUUCCAAAAUAAUCAGAGAAAGGGGCAUGAACAACCUGCUGGCUGAUCGUAUUAAGGUAGAAUCCAAGAUUGUGAAGUGCAUUUGUCAGCAUUUAUCAGAAAGAGAAAAACUUAAAAACAGAUUAUGUCAAAUGAAUUACUAUGCAGGGUUUCCUCAAUAGAAUGUUUGACAAGCACGGGAGCCUUGAUCUGGAGUGGCUGAGAGAUGUUCCACCUGACCAAGCAAAGUAAGUCUAGAUAUUAUCAAACUACUUUGAAAUCAUAUUUCCGUGUUGGUAGGGUUGGCAAAACCAACAUACGAGCCCCUCUAUUCACUAGCAACACAUGUCAUGCACACUCACAUGCAAGCACAAAAAAUGCAUAAUGUUAAUUCAAUUUAUACGUCCAGAGAAUUCUUGCUCAGCAUAAAGGGAUUGGGAUUGAAAAGUGUGGAGUGCGUUCGACUCUUAACACUACACCAUCUUGCUUUCCCGGUAAGUUGAGAACAUUAAUCCAAAAUUAGAGGAUUAAGAAAUAUAUUUUGACAGUUUGUUGCCUAAAUAGGUGGACACAAAUGUUGGACGCAUAGCAGUACGUUUGGGAUGGGUACCUCUCCGGCCACUGCCAGAGUCACUACAGUUGCAUCUUCUAGAACUGUGAGUUCCACAAUAAUAAAUAGCAAGAUGCAGUUAUUCAGUCAGUAAAAAAAAGAGCUAACCUGACAUCAUUGUCCUGUAUAGGUACCCAGUGUUGGAGUCUGUACAAAAAUAUCUCUGGCCUCGACUCUGCAAGCUAGACCAAAGAACAUUGUAAUGAUUAUUUUCAAUUGGAAGUUAUACAUUAAAUUAUAUAAGUAGCUUCUAGUUGCUGAUUUAAUUUUUGAACAAUGGCCAACAUAAACAUGUAUUUAGUAUCAUGAGAUCAUGCUUAGACGCAUCAUGUCAUACUCACCUAAUUAUCUUGCAUUUCAUAAUUAGAUGAUAGCGUUAAAAUGUUCUCCAUCAUAAUUAAACUCUCAUUGAUUUCUUUAAUGUUUUGUUGCUCUUUACUGAAGGUAUGAGCUGCAUUACCAGCUGAUUACAUUUGGAAAGGUAAACUACAUUUUCUCAUACAUUAGAGAGAUGAUCCUACUUAAGUGAAACCCUGUUAUGACUGGAAAGGAAACUAAAAUCAAUUCAUGCAGGUUUUCUGUACUAAAAAACAACCAAAUUGCAAUGCAUGCCCGAUGAGAGGGGAAUGCAAACACUUUGCAAGUGCCUUUGCAAGGUAUGAUAAAUUAAGAUUUCUUGCAGUUAUUCAUACAAAAGGGUGGACUAUUGUUAUGCACCACACCGUCACUCAGACACAGAAAAAUUGUGAAGCUAAAAGACAACAUUACGUAGUUCAUAAAUCCAGUAUUAUCAUGCUCAAUGCCUCACUGUAUAGACCACACUUAGUAUAUUUUAUCUAUAAAAUGAAGAAAAAAAAAUUGUUGUCAGUACCACUUUCAAGAUUAAAUGCAUGCAUCGCAUGAUAUGAAUUAUGAUAAACUAACUUACAAGUAAACAAUGUUAAAUAUUGCAGUGCAAGACUUGCCCUGCCAGGACCAGAGGAGAAGAGAAUAGUAAUCCCGUCCGGAAACAAUGCAAACGAGCAGAACCCACCACUAGUUAUCAAUCAACCGCUCUUGUUUCUCCCUGGGAACACUAUUCAAGACGAACUUCAACAAACAAAAGUGAUCACACAACCUAUUGUAGAAAUGCCAGCAUCUCCAGAGCCCGAAUGCUCCCAACCGUCAGAAAUUAUGGAUAUAGAGGACGCCUUCAA